This 240-nucleotide unclassified non-coding RNA is filed under the name soil metagenome. RNAcentral's name for it is "partial contains 5.8S ribosomal RNA, internal transcribed spacer 2, and large subunit ribosomal RNA". The record is from RNAcentral.
AACCAUAGAAACCUGCGGAGUACCUGCGGAGGGAUCAUUAUUGAAUACUAUUGAGCGCUGUGCUGGCCUUUCGGGGCAUGUGCACGCGUUCUUUAUUAUCAUCUAUCUCUUGUGAACCUAGUGUGGGCUUUGGAGGAACAAGUUGGUCUUUUUAGGCCUUCUGGGGAAUCUGAAGACCAUUUUUUAUAAACAUUUAAAAAAGUUAACAGAAUGUCUUCUUUACUUGACGCAAGUCAGUAA